RNAcentral lists this ribosomal RNA (467 nucleotides) under uncultured bacterium. RNAcentral's name for it is "partial 16S ribosomal RNA". It matches the Rfam family "Bacterial small subunit ribosomal RNA", at positions 28 to 507 of the family's 1533-position model. The record is from RNAcentral.
GACGAACGCUGGCGGCGUGCUUAACACAUGCAAGUCGAACGGAAAGGCCCUGCUUUUGUGGGGUGCUCGAGUGGCGAACGGGUGAGUAACACGUGAGUAACCUGCCCUUGACUUUGGGAUAACUUCAGGAAACUGGGGCUAAUACCGGAUAGGAGCUCCUGCUGCAUGGUGGGGGUUGGAAAGUUUCGGCGGUUGGGGAUGGACUCGCGGCUUAUCAGCUUGUUGGUGGGGUAGUGGCUUACCAAGGCUUUGACGGGUAGCCGGCCUGAGAGGGUGACCGGCCACAUUGGGACUGAGAUACGGCCCAGACUCCUACGGGAGGCAGCAGUGGGGAAUAUUGCACAAUGGGCGGAAGCCGGAUGCAGCAACGCCGCGUGCGGGAUGACGGCCUUCGGGUUGUAAACCGCUUUCGCCUGUGACGAAGCGUGAGUGACGGUAAUGGGUAAAGAAGCACCGGCUACUACGUG